This 606-nucleotide ribosomal RNA is filed under the name Bathysciella jeanneli. RNAcentral's name for it is "SSU rRNA". It matches the Rfam family "Eukaryotic small subunit ribosomal RNA", at positions 22 to 602 of the family's 1831-position model. Lineage: Eukaryota; Metazoa; Arthropoda; Insecta; Coleoptera; Leiodidae. The record is from RNAcentral. RNAcentral also lists the same sequence under 2 other names.
AGUCAUAUGCUUGUCUCAAAGAUUAAGCCAUGCAUGUCUCAGUACAAGCCAAAUUAAGGUGAAACCGCGAAAGGCUCAUUAAAUCAGUUAUGGUUCCUUAGAUCGUACACACAUUUACUUGGAUAACUGUGGUAAUUCUAGAGCUAAUACAUGCCAACAGGACUCCGACCGGAGACGGAAGGAGUGCCUUUAUUAGAUCAAAACCAAUCGGUGGCGCGGCCUCGCGGUCGUGUCAUCGUACAACAUGGUGAAUCUGAAUAACGUUUGCUGAUCGCACGGUCUAGCACCGGCGACGCAUCUUUCAAAUGUCUGCCUUAUCAACUGUCGAUGGUAGGUUCUGCGCCUACCAUGGUUGUAACGGGUAACGGGGAAUCAGGGUUCGAUUCCGGAGAGGGAGCCUGAGAAACGGCUACCACAUCCAAGGAAGGCAGCAGGCGCGCAAAUUACCCACUCCCGGCACGGGGAGGUAGUGACGAAAAAUAACGAUACGGGACUCAUCCGAGGCCCCGUAAUCGGAAUGAGCACACUUUAAAUCCUUUCACGAGGAUCAAUCGGAGGGCAAGUCAGGUGCCAGCAGCCGCGGUAAUUCCUGCUCCGAUAGCGUAU